Coregonus clupeaformis (lake whitefish) is the source of this 993-nucleotide long non-coding RNA. RefSeq lists it as uncharacterized. The record is from RefSeq and is a predicted model, not a curated record. The transcript is spliced from 3 exons. Lineage: Eukaryota; Metazoa; Chordata; Actinopteri; Salmoniformes; Salmonidae.
CUAAUGUGAAGCAGCAGAGUGCUGUGACAGCGUAGGCAUUUAUUUGAGUAAAGACUGCUGCUGUAGCUGGAAGGACGCAGCAGCCCUCACCAACGCUCUGUCAUUCACUGCCUCCGCCCCAACCACGCCACAACCACGACACAGGGAGACACCUGGAGGAGGAGGUACACAGGACGCACACCAGGCGGAACCACUAUGCCUUUCACAUGCCAUCAGCAAUACGACUUUCGGAAUACACUGUUUUUUUUACCUUACCUUUCAGUCAGUCUCUCUACACCCCUCCUCUUCUCAUCCUGCUCUAUCCAUCUACUCCCCUCCUCUGCUCCUCUCUUCCUCCGCUUCUGUUUGAAGGGGGAUUCAUGCCAAGAGAGAGCGUGGCUUGAAUGAAUAUCAGCUGCUGGAUCUCUCCAGGUUAGACAGAAGGAAGAAAGUACCAGUAGAGGACUCAAAGGGCAUCCUCUGCACAUCUCUGCACCCCCAGGACCUCCAUCUCUGUCUCCUUGGGACUCCUCCUGCCCUCCUCGCUCCGCAGGGGUCCUGCCCAUCCCUGUGAGCCUCAGCCAGGGUAAACAAUCUAGUGGAUGUGUUGAUAUUGUGUUACUGAGAGGAAGAAGAGUUGUGUUCAAGUCUAGGCCUCGAGCUGUUUUGAUUCUUCCUCUUCCUUGCACACAGCUGAAUUCCAAGAGUUAAAUGGAGUAAAGUCAUUGGAUUUUGGGUUUUGUUUUUCAUUUUACUUUGCUGCUGCCCUCGCCGCACUGAAAAGAAACCAAAUAAACUAAACACUUGAGAGACCCUGUACAACUCCAUGACUCUGCAUGCUAACUGGACAUCUCCUUGCACCGGCAGACUGCAGACUGACGGCUCUAUUUAAGGAGCGGCUGAAGAGGGUGAACAGCAGGAAGAGGUUGAACGUCUGAGUGGCAGUAAUGUCUUUCCCUGACGGUGGGAGAGCGGAGCAGGGGUGACAAGGCUGGCAGGGGAGUCCGGUGCGUA